GAACGCUGGCGGCAGGCCUAACACAUGCAAGUCGAACGGUAACAGGAAGCAGCUUGCUGCUUYGCUGACGAGUGGCGGACGGGUGAGUAAUGUCUGGGAAACUGCCUGAUGGAGGGGGAUAACUACUGGAAACGGUGGCUAAUACCGCAUAACGUCGCAAGACCAAAGAGGGGGACCUUCGGGCCUCUUGCCAUCAGAUGUGCCCAGAUGGGAUUAGCUUGUUGGUGAGGUAACGGCUCACCAAGGCGACGAUCCCUAGCUGGUCUGAGAGGAUGACCAGCCACACUGGAACUGAGACACGGUCCAGACUCCUACGGGAGGCAGCAGUGGGGAAUAUUGCACAAUGGGCGCAAGCCUGAUGCAGCCAUGCCGCGUGUAUGAAGAAGGCCUUCGGGUUGUAAAGUACUUUCAGCGGGGAGGAAGGUGUUGUGGUUAAUAACCGCAGCAAUUGACGUUACCCGCAGAAGAAGCACCGGCUAACUCCGU
RNAcentral lists this ribosomal RNA (486 nucleotides) under Salmonella enterica subsp. enterica serovar Agona. RNAcentral's name for it is "bacterial SSU rRNA". It matches the Rfam family "Bacterial small subunit ribosomal RNA", at positions 31 to 506 of the family's 1533-position model. Lineage: Bacteria; Pseudomonadati; Pseudomonadota; Gammaproteobacteria; Enterobacterales; Enterobacteriaceae. The record is from RNAcentral.